This 271-nucleotide ribosomal RNA is filed under the name uncultured bacterium. RNAcentral describes it as "partial 16S ribosomal RNA". It matches the Rfam family "Bacterial small subunit ribosomal RNA", at positions 524 to 794 of the family's 1533-position model. The record is from RNAcentral.
UACGUAGGGUGCGAGCGCUAUCCGGAAUUACUGGGCGUAAAGCGUCCGCAGCUGGGUAUUUAAGUCUGAUGUUAAAAUCCGGGGCUCAACUCCGGACUCGUAUCGGAAACUGGAUACCUAGAGUAAUGCAGAGGUACAUGGAAUUUGUGGUGUAGGGGUAAAAUCCGUUGAUACCAUAAGGAACACCAAAAGCGAAGGCAGUGUACUGGGCAUUUACUGACAGUCAGGGACGAAAGCGUGGGGAGCAAAAGGGAUUAGAUACCCUGGUAGU